CCAUUGGUGGUUCAGUGGUAGAAUUCUCACCUUCUACGUGGGAGACCGGGGUUCGAUUCCCGACCAGUGCA
Molecule: transfer RNA, 71 nt
Filed under: Loxodonta africana (African savanna elephant)
Lineage: Eukaryota; Metazoa; Chordata; Mammalia; Proboscidea; Elephantidae
Rfam family: tRNA
About the family: Transfer RNA (tRNA) molecules are approximately 80 nucleotides in length. Their secondary structure includes four short double-helical elements and three loops (D, anti-codon, and T loops).
Source: Rfam by way of RNAcentral